Molecule: ribosomal RNA, 254 nt
Filed under: uncultured bacterium
Lineage: Bacteria
Also listed under: 1 other name
Description: partial 16S ribosomal RNA
Rfam family: Bacterial small subunit ribosomal RNA
Source: RNAcentral
UACGUAGGGAGCAAGCGUUGUCCGGAUUCAUUGGGCGUAAAGAGCUCGUAGGCGGUUCGGUAAGUCGGAUGUGAAACCCCCAGGCUUAACCUGGGGCCGCCAUCCGAUACUGCCGUGACUAGAGUCCGGUAGGGGCCCACGGAACUCCUGGUGUAGCGGUGAAAUGCGCAGAUAUCAGGAAGAACACCGAUGGCGAAGGCAGUGGGCUGGGCCGGUACUGACGCUGAGGAGCGAAAGCGUGGGGAGCGAACAGG